RNAcentral lists this long non-coding RNA (487 nucleotides) under Brachypodium distachyon (stiff brome). Its description in RNAcentral is "long non-coding RNA (BDIS_LNC001836)". Lineage: Eukaryota; Viridiplantae; Streptophyta; Magnoliopsida; Poales; Poaceae. The record is from RNAcentral.
GCGGCGGAAAUGAGGAAGGGGUAGAAAGCAGCGCUGUGAGACUAGGGUAUUCGUCGAGUGAGACAAAAGGCAGCCAGGUUUUGGCUAGUUUUUUUUUUAAAGCGGUUUUUGCCGUUUCGGGCGGGAGGAAGACGAAGGGGAGGGAGUAUGCUCUCUUUUUUUAUGUGGCGGGAGGGAGUAUGUUUUUGGUGACAUCAUGAACCAAAGUUUUCAGUACAACAACAUUUUCCAAAGUAGUUUAAUAAUUAUUUAACUUCUAUUUUUUUGACACAAAACAGUAGGGAAAUGCCCUACUGUGUCAUUUUCAUUUAUAAAGGGUGAAUAUUUACAAUGGAUAUUUGCAUCAAGAAAGCUUAUAUGAGAGUGCAAAAAAUAAUUUAUCUUUAUAAAGAGUAAAACUAACCAAAUAUGAUGAAACUGAUAUAGUAAUAUUAUUACCAAUUACUUCCUCCGAUCCUAAAUUGUUGUCGACAUAUUACAUGUAUCG